Molecule: ribosomal RNA, 1347 nt
Filed under: uncultured bacterium
Lineage: Bacteria
Description: 16S ribosomal RNA
Rfam family: Bacterial small subunit ribosomal RNA
Source: RNAcentral
GACGAACGCUGGCGGCGUGCUUAACACAUGCAAGUCGAACGGAAAGGCCCUGCUUUUGUGGGGUGCUCGAGUGGCGAACGGGUGAGUAACACGUGAGUAACCUGCCCUUGACUUUGGGAUAACUUCAGGAAACUGGGGCUAAUACCGGAUAGGAGCUCCUGCUGCAUGGUGGGGGUUGGAAAGUUCCGGCGGUUGGGGAUGGACUCGCGGCUUAUCAGCUUGUUGGUGGGGUAGUGGCUUACCAAGGCUUUGACGGGUAGCCGGCCUGAGAGGGUGACCGGCCACAUUGGGACUGAGAUACGGCCCAGACUCCUACGGGAGGCAGCAGUGGGGAAUAUUGCACAAUGGGCGGAAGCCUGAUGCAGCAACGCCGCGUGCGGGAUGACGGCCUUCGGGUUGUAAACCGCUUUCGCCCGUGACGAAUCGUGAGUGACGGUAAUGGGUAAAGAAGCACCGGCUAACUACGUGCCAGCAGCCGCGGUGAUACGUAGGGUGCGAGCGUUGUCCGGAUUUAUUGGGCGUAAAGGGCUCGUAGGUGGUUGAUCGCGUCGGAAAGCGUAAUCUUGGGGCUUAACCCUGAGCGUGCUUUCGAUACGGGUUGACUUGAGGAAAGGUAGGGGAGAAAUGGAAUUCCUGGUGGAAGCGGUGGAAUGCGCAGAUAUCAGGAGGAACACCAGUGGCGAAGGCGGUUCUCUGGGCCUUUCCUGACGCUGAGGAGCGAAAGCGUGGGGAGCGAACAGGCUUAGAUACCCUGGUAGUCCACGCUGUAAACGGUGGGUACUAGGUGUGGGGUCCAUUCCACGGGUUCCGUGCCGUAGCUAACGCUUUAAGUACCCCGCCUGGGGAGUACGGCCGCAAGGCUAAAACUCAAAGGAAUUGACGGGGCCCCGCACAAGCGGCGGAGCAUGCGGAUUAAUUCGAUGCAACGCGUAGAACCUUACCUGGGUUUGACAUGGAUCGGGAGUGCUCAGAGAUGGGUGUGCCUCUUUUGGGGUCGGUUCACAGGUGGUGCAUGCCUGUCGUCAGCUCGUGUCGUGAGAUGUUGGGUUAAGUCCCGCAACGAGCGCAACCCUUGUUCACUGUUGCCAGCACGUUAUGGUGGGGACUCAGUGGAGACCGCCGGGGUCAACUCGGAGGAAGGUGGGGAUGACGUCAAGUCAUCAUGCCCCUUAUGUCCAGGGCUUCACGCAUGCUACAAUGGCUGGUACAGAGAGUGGCGAGCCUGUGAGGGUGAGCGAAUCUCGGAAAGCCGGUCUCAGUUCGGAUUGGGGUCUGCAACUCGACCUCAUGAAGUCGGAGUCGCUAGUAAUCGCAGAUCAGCAACGCUGCGGUGAAUACGUUCCCGGG